RNAcentral lists this ribosomal RNA (461 nucleotides) under uncultured bacterium. RNAcentral describes it as "bacterial SSU rRNA". It matches the Rfam family "Bacterial small subunit ribosomal RNA", at positions 88 to 549 of the family's 1533-position model. The record is from RNAcentral.
CUGACGACCGGCGCACGGGUGCGCAACGCGUAUACAAUCUACCUUAUGCUGAGGGAUAGCCCAGAGAAAUUUGGAUUAAGACCUCAUGGUAUCGAGAGACGGCAUCGUUUUUUGAUUAAAGGUUACGGCAUAAGAUGAGUAUGCGUCCCAUUAGCUAGUUGGUGUGGUAACGGCACACCAAGGCUACGAUGGGUAGGGGUCCUGAGAGGGAGAUCCCCCACACUGGUACUGAGACACGGACCAGACUCCUACGGGAGGCAGCAGUGAGGAAUAUUGGACAAUGGACGGAAGUCUGAUCCAGCCAUGCCGCGUGCAGGAAGACGGUCCUAUGGAUUGUAAACUGCUUUUAUACGGGAAGAAUAAGGGCUACGUGUAGCCCGGCGACGGUACCGUAAGAAUAAGGAUCGGCUAACUCCGUGCCAGCAGCCGCGGUAAUACGGAGGAUCCAAGCGUUAUCCGGA